This 305-nucleotide ribosomal RNA is filed under the name uncultured bacterium. RNAcentral's name for it is "bacterial SSU rRNA". It matches the Rfam family "Bacterial small subunit ribosomal RNA", at positions 335 to 637 of the family's 1533-position model. The record is from RNAcentral.
AGUCUACGGGACGCAGCAGUGAGGAAUAUUGGUCAACGGGCUUACGCCUGAACCAGCCAAGUCGCGUGAGGGAAGACUGCCCUAUGGGUUGUAAACCUCUUUUGUCAGGGAGCAACGCCGGCUACGUGUAGCCGGACUGAGAGUACCUGAAGAAAAAGUAUCGGCUAACUCCGUGCCAGCAGCCGCGGUGAUACGGAAGGUCCGGGCGUUAUCCGGAUUUAUCGGGUUUAAAGGGAGCGUAGGCCGGCUUUUAAGUCAGCUGUGAAAGUCCGCGGCUCAACCGUGGAAUUGCAGUUGAAACUGGG